This 398-nucleotide ribosomal RNA is filed under the name uncultured bacterium. Its description in RNAcentral is "bacterial SSU rRNA". It matches the Rfam family "Bacterial small subunit ribosomal RNA", at positions 28 to 417 of the family's 1533-position model. The record is from RNAcentral.
GAUGAACGCUAGCUACAGGCUUAACACAUGCAAGUCGAGGGGCAGCAUGAACUUAGCUUGCUAAGUUUGAUGGCGACCGGCGCACGGGUGAGUAACACGUAUCCAACCUUUCGUUUACUCAGGGAUAGCCUUUCGAAAGAAAGAUUAAUACCUGAUAGUAUGGUGAGAUUGCAUGAUAACACCAUUAAAGAUUUAUUGGUAAACGAUGGGGAUGCGUUCCAUUAGGUAGUAGGCGGGGUAACGGCCCACCUAGUCUUCGAUGGAUAGGGGUUCUGAGAGGAAGGUCCCCCACAUUGGAACUGAGACACGGUCCAAACUCCUACGGGAGGCAGCAGUGAGGAAUAUUGGUCAAUGGGCGAGAGCCUGAACCAGCCAAGUAGCGUGAGGGAUGAAGGCUC